GUGGGGAAUCUUAGACAAUGGGGGAAACCCUGAUCUAGCCAUGCCGCGUGAGCGAUGAAGGCCUUAGGGUUGUAAAGCUCUUUCUGCUGGGAAGAUAAUGACGGUACCAGCAGAAGAAGCCCCGGCUAACUACGUGCCAGCAGCCGCGGUAAUACGUAGGGGGCUAGCGUUGUUCGGAAUUACUGGGCGUAAAGCGCGAGUAGGCGGACCAGAAAGUUGGAGGUGAAAUCCCAGGGCUCAACCUUGGAACUGCCUUCAAAACUCCUGGUCUGGAGUUCGAGAGAGGUGAGUGGAAUUCCGAGUGUAGAGGUGAAAUUCGUAGAUAUUCGGAAGAACACCAGUGGCGAAGGCGACACACUGGCUCAUUACUGACGCUGAGGCGCGAAAGCGUGGGGAGCAAACAGGAUUAGAAACCCCAGUAGUCC
Molecule: ribosomal RNA, 425 nt
Filed under: uncultured bacterium
Lineage: Bacteria
Description: partial 16S ribosomal RNA
Rfam family: Bacterial small subunit ribosomal RNA
Source: RNAcentral